GAUGGACGCUGGCGGCGUGCUUAACACAUGCAAGUCGAACGAUGAAGCCCAGCUUGCUGGGUGGAUUAGUGGCGAACGGGUGAGUAACACGUGAGUAACCUGCCCUUAACUCUGGGAUAAGCCUGGGAAACUGGGUCUAAUACCGGAUAGGAGCGUCCACCGCAUGGUGGGUGUUGGAAAGAUUUAUCGGUUUUGGAUGGACUCGCGGCCUAUCAGCUUGUUGGUGAGGUAAUGGCUCACCAAGGCGACGACGGGUAGCCGGCCUGAGAGGGUGACCGGCCACACUGGGACUGAGACACGGCCCAGACUCCUACGGGAGGCAGCAGUGGGGAAUAUUGCACAAUGGGCGAAAGCCUGAUGCAGCGACGCCGCGUGAGGGAUGACGGCCUUCGGGUUGUAAACCUCUUUCAGUAGGGAAGAAGCGAAAGUGACGGUACCUGCAGAAGAAGCACCGGCUAACUACGUG
RNAcentral lists this ribosomal RNA (466 nucleotides) under uncultured bacterium. RNAcentral's name for it is "partial 16S ribosomal RNA". It matches the Rfam family "Bacterial small subunit ribosomal RNA", at positions 28 to 507 of the family's 1533-position model. The record is from RNAcentral.